GUACCUCCCUUACACCGAGGAGUCGCCCGUGCAAGCCGGGCCGCCCUGA
RNAcentral lists this transfer RNA (49 nucleotides) under Orthonopias triacis. RNAcentral's name for it is "partial tRNA-Val". The record is from RNAcentral. Lineage: Eukaryota; Metazoa; Chordata; Actinopteri; Perciformes; Cottidae.